This is a long non-coding RNA of Pollicipes pollicipes, 1262 nucleotides long. RefSeq lists it as uncharacterized. NCBI's taxonomy places the organism in Eukaryota, Metazoa, Arthropoda, Thecostraca, Pollicipedomorpha, Pollicipedidae. The transcript has 3 exons. The record is from RefSeq and is a predicted model, not a curated record.
CAGACCCUGCUAUUUUCAAGGCGCCACGCAUCACGUACACCAAUUGGCGGAGUAAUGGGGUGGAGGUGUCCGUGCCCUGGCCUUUUCAGUGAUAAACCCAUCCACCGCGUGCAUGCUUACGUGAUUGGUGGCGACCUCUGCGCCCGCAGAGCGUGCGCGUCCUGGUGAUCAUCGCCGCUGGGUAGUGCCGGCCCUUUAUACCCACAGGACCUGGGUCAAAAAUGGAUGACAUGGCAUGGGUGACAUGAGGAAUGGCACAUGUGCGACAUUUAAGCUGACGAACGGCAGCCGGGGUGAAAUGGGAAUCAGUUAAGGGAGGGAGCACCCAGGAAGUCGGCGACUGCCAAACGUGAAAAUAGGAAGAACGAAACUUCAGACGACAUGACCGCUCUGGAGCCCAGAAGCUUCAUCGCCGAGAAGUGGCUAGUGUUGGGUGUAUUUCACGCAUGUUAUACUCACAUAAAGUGUGAAGUGUUGCAGGAGUCUCAUGGACAUGACCGACCCAGGUUUUGUUUCUCACUUUAUGUAACGGAACGACAAAAACAAAGCGGUCUCGUUACCAAUUGCCUUUUUAUGACCUUUUGCAUCACUACCAGGAGCGCUUGGGUGCAUUUUGGUCUUCAUACGUGUGACAUUUCAGCACCAGGAGCAAUUCAUGAUACCGCGUGUGACGUGCAAUGACAAAAUUGCUGCCGUGUCCCAUAGAAGAUUAUGAUCCCGAGUUGUCUGCGACGAUAUGAUGUCGUGUUCCUGGUGUAAACGGACUGUGAUGACGUCAUCCAGUGACUGUUGAGCUGCCAACGUGACGCUAAGCAUGUCUUGUCAGCAGUAGCGCAAAAAACGCGGCCUCACAUAGACGGCAAAAUUUGCCGUUGUUCAGCCACCACUGCGUCGCCGUCCUUCGCAAACAGCACGGUGCAGAUGAAUGCGACUGCUUUUGUCGUUAUCAAUGCUGUAGCCCUUUUCUUUCAUCGCAAGGUGCAGCAUUUUCUGCAACGGAACAUCACGAAUUGUGUGAUGCGUCUCACGUCUUCGGAGCCGCAAUGACAAUUUGACAUGAAUCAUGUGUUUUGGCAAGGGCCGUUUCGGGGACAGUAUUAGAGCAAUAUAUAGCGAUGUGAGUUGGUCGUGCCUUCGGAAAAUGGGCAGCAUGUUACCUGCCUACCCCUUUGUGAUUUGGGAUGUAUAUUCGCCAAGGGCUUUGACAAUCGCAGGCUGUUUGUAGGCUCGAGUUCUGUUCAUGUCUGAGAUGGGGAUAGCCU